This 323-nucleotide long non-coding RNA is filed under the name Mytilus galloprovincialis (Mediterranean mussel). The record is from RNAcentral. Lineage: Eukaryota; Metazoa; Mollusca; Bivalvia; Mytilida; Mytilidae.
UAAAAAUUUCUGUAACUUUUUCAAAUGGUCUUGGAUAUUCAUAAAACUCUACAGUUUACUCAAUUACAUAUUAAUCUUACUAAAUGCCAGGUGAUAUGGUAGUUUAUUAUAUUGGUGUCAACUGUAUAGAUUUAAUUGAUAGGUAAAAAAACCUGGAAUUUUUCAUGUCGCAAAAAAUUAUGCUAGUCAACUUUAAAAGGCUCUGUAACUUUUUCAAAUGAACUUGGAUAUUCUUAAAACUCUUCAGUUAACUCAAUCACAUAUUUAUCUUACUUAAUACCUGGUUAUAAAGUAGUUUGUUAUAUUGGUGUCAACUGUAAAGA